RNAcentral lists this ribosomal RNA (253 nucleotides) under uncultured bacterium. RNAcentral's name for it is "partial 16S ribosomal RNA". It matches the Rfam family "Bacterial small subunit ribosomal RNA", at positions 524 to 776 of the family's 1533-position model. The record is from RNAcentral.
UACAGAGGGUGCGAGCGUUGUCCGGAGUUACUGGGCGUAAAGCGCGCGCAGGCGGCUCGUCAAGUCUGGCGUGAAAGCCCCCGGCUCAACCGGGGAGGGUCGUCGGAGACUGGCGAGCUUGAGGGCGGUAGGGGCUGGUGGAAUUCCCGGUGUAGUGGUGAAAUGCGUAGAGAUCGGGAGGAACACCCGUGGCGAAGGCGGCCAGCUGGGCCGUCCCUGACGCUGAGGCGCGAAGGCGUGGGGAGCGAACGGG